RNAcentral lists this ribosomal RNA (655 nucleotides) under uncultured Leptodontidium. Its description in RNAcentral is "eukaryotic LSU rRNA". The stretch from base 292 to 445 matches the Rfam family "5.8S ribosomal RNA". Lineage: Eukaryota; Fungi; Ascomycota. The record is from RNAcentral.
AUUGGAAGUAAAAGUCGUAACAAGGUUUCCGUAGGUGAACCUGCGGAAGGAUCAUUACUAGAGCAAAGGAUAGACAGCGCCCGCGGAGCUCGCUCCCGGGGCCACCCUACUCCGGUAGGGUUUAGAGUCGUCGGGCCUCUCGGAGAAGCUCGGUCCUGAACUCCACCCUUGAAUAAACUACCUUUGUUGCUUUGGCGGGCCGCCUCGUGCCAGCGGCUUCGGCUGUUGAGUGCCCGCCAGAGGACCACAACUCUUGUUUUUAGUGAUGUCUGAGUACUAUAUAAUAGUUAAAACUUUCAACAACGGAUCUCUUGGUUCUGGCAUCGAUGAAGAACGCAGCGAAAUGCGAUAAGUAAUGUGAAUUGCAGAAUUCAGUGAAUCAUCGAAUCUUUGAACGCACAUUGCGCCCUCUGGUAUUCCGGGGGGCAUGCCUGUUCGAGCGUCAUUAUAACCACUCAAGCUCUCGCUUGGUAUUGGGGUUCGCGGUUUCGCGGCUCCUAAAAUCAGUGACGGUGCCUAUCGGCUCUACGCGUAGUAAUACUCCUCGCGAUUGAGUCCGGUAGGUCUACUUGCCAGCAACCCCUAAUUUUUUAAGGUUGACCUCGGAUCAGGUAGGGAUACCCGCUGAACUUAAGCAUAUCAAUAAGCGGAGGAA